Antechinus flavipes (yellow-footed antechinus) is the source of this 278-nucleotide long non-coding RNA. RefSeq lists it as uncharacterized. The transcript is spliced from 2 exons. NCBI's taxonomy places the organism in Eukaryota, Metazoa, Chordata, Mammalia, Dasyuromorphia, Dasyuridae. The record is from RefSeq and is a predicted model, not a curated record.
GCACGCGCAUAGCGUGCGUGCGCUGGUGGAACCCACUCUGACAUGGGAGGAGGCCACUCGCUGUGUCUGGGGGAAACAGAAAACAUUUCUUAGACAUUUUCAAGUGAGCGCUGGUGGAAAAGAAUGAACUUUGAUGACUCUGGAGGAUGGAGUGAAGCUUCAUGUGAAACCAAUUCACAACAAAGUCGAAACACCACCCUGUUCAUGUCAUUGAUACUCUUAAAGAAUGCAGAAGGAACCACUAUCCCAGAAAGCAAAUAAAUAAGAAGGGUCCUUAU